Molecule: small RNA, 68 nt
Filed under: Actinoplanes philippinensis
Lineage: Bacteria; Bacillati; Actinomycetota; Actinomycetes; Micromonosporales; Micromonosporaceae
Description: ASdes TB sRNA
Rfam family: ASdes TB sRNA
Source: Rfam by way of RNAcentral
AGCUCCACCGGGUCCACGCCGCGGGUGACGGUCAGGUAGUCGCGGCUGGCGAUGCCGUGCCGCCCCUC